UCCCUGGUGGGUCAGUGGUUAAGACUCAGCAUUUUCACUGCUGAGGGCCCAGGUUCAAUCUCUGGUUGGGGAA
Molecule: non-coding RNA, 73 nt
Organism: Ovis aries (sheep)
Lineage: Eukaryota; Metazoa; Chordata; Mammalia; Artiodactyla; Bovidae
Source: Rfam